RNAcentral lists this long non-coding RNA (1156 nucleotides) under Coturnix japonica (Japanese quail). RNAcentral describes it as "lncRNA (ENSCJPG00005002038.1)". The record is from RNAcentral. Lineage: Eukaryota; Metazoa; Chordata; Aves; Galliformes; Phasianidae.
GAAGCUCUGCCGGGGAGAGGGAGGCGCAGCGCAGUGCCGGAGCUCUUCUCCUCUCCUCUCAACCUGCCCAUAUCUGCAGAGGGUUUCUGCAGCAGAAAACACCGCUGUGAGCUUUUGAGGGAAAUGCAGCUUAGAAUAAAAAUAAUCUCCGAAACUGUGCAGAGGACAACGACAGUUCAAGGCGAAGCUCUGUACCUGGAUGGAAUUCCAGGGCAUGGAGAGGUGGACAGAUCUCCCCAUAAGCAGCUGCCUAACAGCAAGCUGCUGCCUAACACUGUAAGUAUUUGCUCUCAGUGUAAAACCAUGGGCUUUUUUUUGGUGAAAGUCGUAAGUGGUGGAAUGCAAGAAGUAACAAGUCAUAAUUUCUGCAGCUGCAGGAGCAAAGGUAUCUUGUUAGACAGCUGCAACUGUGAUCUACUGAGAGGGCAUCCUGGUGCCCUGAACAUGGUGUUUCACAUCUAUGAUGCUAAUCUGAAUGUACAAAAUGAGUAUGAACAUUGACACCGCGAUUUCCUUUAUUUUGUCAGACAGUUUAUUCACAGAUAUUUAAUAUAUGGCCAUUUACUUGGAAAGUGUGCACUGCUGCAAUUCCCCCAAACCUCUCUGGAUUGUAACAUUCAGAAAGAUAUUCUGGGGAGGUGGAAUUUUUAAAUAGGUAGGGAGAGGCUUGUGAGAAAGAUGAUGAGAAUAUCUUGUUUGGAGAUGUGAACAUCACCUGUGCAGUAAGAUUUAACUUCCCUACUUCAUAGACAGGUAAAAUCCUUAUUCUACAAGAAAUACCCCAGGCACAUUUAUCUUUCAUUUUUUUUCCCCGUGUGCUGACAUGGCAUAUUCACUGUCCUACACAUAAACUGCUUCUGUAAUACUUCCAGAAAAGCACUGCUGGAUGUGUGUCUGGGUGGCCCAGGCAUUUGGCAAAGUAAUUUCAACUAUUAGCUACAGGUUUGGUUUGCUUUAUGUUAGUGUUUUUACACAACUGAUGCUGACUUGUACUAGAAUUCUGUAGUGUUCUUCACUGGUGUUUUCCUACUACUAGAGGUCUGUAAAAGUCUUCCCUUGUCAGAAAGGGCUUCAUUUUGGAAAACCAAAACAAAAUGAUAUGAUUUUCAGGAUAACUUUCUUGGAUAAUAAAGUGUUGUAUAACACAAUGUGAACA